Molecule: ribosomal RNA, 915 nt
Filed under: Neodevriesia xanthorrhoeae
Lineage: Eukaryota; Fungi; Ascomycota; Dothideomycetes; Mycosphaerellales; Neodevriesiaceae
Description: eukaryotic LSU rRNA
Rfam family: Eukaryotic large subunit ribosomal RNA
Source: RNAcentral
GGGAUACCCGCUGAACUUAAGCAUAUCAAUAAGCGGAGGAAAAGAAACCAACAGGGAUUGCCCUAGUAACGGCGAGUGAAGCGGCAACAGCUCAAAUUUGAAAUCUGGCGCAAGCCCGAGUUGUAAUUUGUAGAGGAUGCUUCUGGGCAGCGGCCGGUCUAAGUUCCUUGGAACAGGACGUCAUAGAGGGUGAGAAUCCCGUAUGUGACCGGCUGGCACCCUCCACGUAGCUCCUUCGACGAGUCGAGUUGUUUGGGAAUGCAGCUCUAAAUGGGAGGUAAAUUUCUUCUAAAGCUAAAUACCGGGCAGAGACCGAUAGCGCACAAGUAGAGUGAUCGAAAGAUGAAAAGUACUUUGGAAAGAGAGUUAAAAAGCACGUGAAAUUGUUGAAAGGGAAGCGCUUGCGACCAGACUUGUCGGCGGUGUUCCGCCGGUCUUCUGACCGGUUCACUCGCCGUCGACAGGCCAGCAUCAUCUGGGGCCGCCGGAUAAAGGCUUUGGGAAUGUAGCUCCCCUCGGGGAGUGUUAUAGCCCUUUGCACAAUACGGCGCGCCCCGGGUGAGGUCCGCGUCUCGGCAAGGAUGCUGGCGUAAUGGUUGUAAGCGGCCCGUCUUGAAACACGGACCAAGGAGUCGAUUAUCUAUGCGAGUGUUCGGGCGUCAAACCCCUACGCGUAAUGAAAGUGAACGGAGGUGGGAACCCUUACCGGUGCACCAUCGACCGAUCCGGAUGUCUUCGGAUGGAUUUGAGUAAGAGCAUAGCUAAUCGGACCCGAAAGAUGGUGAACUAUGCCUGAAUAGGGUGAAGCCAGAGGAAACUCUGGUGGAGGCUCGCAGCGGUUCUGACGUGCAAAUCGAUCGUCAAAUUUGGGUAUAGGGGCGAANGACUAAUCGAACCAUCUAGUAGCUGGUCUGC